GCUCAAACUGUGAUCCUCACAGUGAGUUCAAAAUUUUGAGGAUCGUGAUCAUCACAUGGUCUCAUGUGUUGAUUGGGAUACUAUGUAUAUCUACAGCUUUUAUUUGUUUGAUGCCUAAAAAUUCCUCUGCAGCUGCCACUUCUGUCUUGACUGAGAGACUUCUGUUGUGAGAGAUGGCGUUGUGGUAUGGAACGCGGACGGUGCCAAUAUUCUUUAAACGAAACGCGUGAUUUUUGACCGCGUCAACACGCACUAUUUGUUCGCGUUAACGCGUCAACAAGCAAAGCAGCCAAUGAAAUGCUGUUUUUGAGACUAUAUUUGCAUAUGGGACGCGAUGAUUCAAAAGUCAACAGCCAUAACCAUGGCUCUUAGAAAUUUUUUAGCAAACUGCCAACGAACAUUUUCAGACUGCGUGCAGCUGGCUUCUUCUAACCACAAUGAAGAUUUGAAUCUUGUGAUAUUACGAAUGCAGACAAUGGCCAGAAGUGUGGUAUGGUCAAGAAGGAGAAUGCUGGAUCCUGGUGAAAUGAAAUGCUGGACCAGGUAUCUGAGUUUCUGGAUCAUUUGGAAACAUUGACUCAGCAGCACGGGCUAUAGUGCUCCCUUGGUAAGGGGCUCAUCUGGCCGUCCACGAUUCUCCAUAACCGAAGAACAGUUGCGUUUUCUGAUAGAAUAUAACUUUUCUACAAGACAAAUGGCAGAAAUCUUGUGUGUGUCCAGGCGAACUGUGAAACAUCGUUUAAGGUGAGGUGUUCAGUACUGAGCAGAAAAUAUUUAUUAUACCCUAAAGCUAAUGAAUUGAUUGAUUGAUUGACUGAUUAUAAACAAUAUUAACUUAAUAUACAUAAUAGAGGAGAAUUUAUUACUUUCAAGAGUCCGCUGUGAUAAUGGAGGGGAGAAUAAUGCAGUCUGCCUAUUUAUGAAUGUCUUCCGGGGAUUCACCAGAGGAAGUGCUCUAAGAGGAAGGAGCACACACAACCAGAGAAUUGAGGGAAUGUUAGGGGGAUGUUUGGUGGGGCAUCUCCAAUACUUACUAUGCCUUAUUCAUGCUUUUGGAAAGUGAAGGUAAAAUUGACAGUACCAAUGAAAUGCACCUUUGGGCAUUACAUUAUGUGUAUAUACCUCAAAUCAACAGGGAUCUCCAACUGUUCAUUCAUCAAUGGAACCACCACAAGCUGAGAACUGUACGGUACAUGUCUCCCCAUCAACUCUUCAUUUGAGGAUGUCUCUCACAGCUAACUCGAAACCAGACAGGGAUAUGUGGAAUCCUUGGAGCAGAUGAGGAGCCUGUUGCAGAUGUAAACAUAACCUCCAGCUUCAGAAGAAGUUACACCCCAAGCUUUUCACACAAUUUUCCACUGGCCAGAAUCUGUUGAGGUUCCUGCCAACCACUUCAACAUUCAAGCAGGAGUAAUGGGACAACUUGUUCAGCAGGUCAACCCUCUUGGUGGAAGACGUGAUGAUUUAGGAACUGAUCUUUUAGAGCAAGUUAUUAACUUCCUUGGAAAUAUUCCUCAUCCCAUAUAGAUCACACUUACACUGGAACAAAUGUUUGGAAUAUUUAAGAUUUUUAAUGCUUUUUCUUAUGG
This is a long non-coding RNA of Cyprinus carpio (common carp), 1589 nucleotides long. The record is from Ensembl. Lineage: Eukaryota; Metazoa; Chordata; Actinopteri; Cypriniformes; Cyprinidae.